AUGGAACUGAAACUGGAAAACAAGUUCUACUCUUUCUUUCUUUUUUUUUUGGUCCCAUGCUGUCUUAGACUUAGGCCUUUCAUCAUCUGCCUCUCUGUCAUUUGGUCUCUUACAUUCAUCAUCCUAGGGCCUCAGCCAAAAUGUCCAUUUCAACAUGCUGUUUUACCACAUGGGCACCUAGUUAUCUCUUCUCAAUUCUCUCUCCUCCAUUUACUAAAAAAGCGGGAGAAAGUAGACAGAAUUCCUGCCCACGUACUAUCUUAAAUUCAAGGCCAUGGAAAGUUCACUUCUUUCCUUCUACCUUUCCACCAAAUUCUGCUUAGAUUCAAAUGCCCCAUCCAUGAGGUACAGGCUCCCACCUACAGCCACUCAGGGCAGGAGAGCAAGGCUGAUAGAAGGUGGCUCCUGAUUCAAAUCCAAGCUCUGCCCUUCACUAGCCUCUCAGAGCCCUGACUCCCAAACUGCAAUGAUGCCCCUCACUUUGCAGGGCGAGAGCCAGGUUACAUCAUGGGAGGUGCUGAAUGACUUAAUAAUCAGUCCAAUUUUCUGUGAGUUUUCUUGUUCACAAGAUAGCAUCAGUGUUCUUAUCAUCCAAGGAGAAUACUCUUUGCAAAUCCCUUCUAAUGGCAUUCACUUUUCACAAAACUCUCCAGAAGUAUCUCCCAUUGAAAACUUUCUUCUGAGUCUAAAGGGGUUGGGGGAGAAUUAAAAUAAGAAAUAAAGGGAAAUCAUCUAAAAAUCCUAUUGUUAUUUACUUAAAUAUUUAUAUUACAUUCUUUUUUAUUUUUUAAGUUGAUAUAAAAUUGUAUGUAUUUGUUGUGUACCACAUGAUGUUUUGAAUUAUGUAUUCAUGGUGAGACAGCUAAAUCUAGCUAAUUAACACAUGAAUUACCUCACAAAGUUAUCAUUUUUUUGUGGUGAAAGCAUUUAAAACCUACUCAGCAUUUUUCAAGAAUACAAUGUAUUGUUAUAAACUAUAGUCAUCGUAUUGCACAAUAGAUCUCCUCCUAACAGACACUGUACCCUUUGACUAACAUCUCUUCAACCACUCCACCUAAAAAUCAUAUACACUUUUGCAUAGAUCAAAGAGCUGGAAAGACCUUGAGAUAGCAUCUCUCCAGUCUUGACCAUGAUGAUGAUACAUGUCAGAUUCAAUCUUCCAUAUUUUCCAUGUUUUAUGUGGCUGAAUAUCGCCGCUUCUAAAACUCAAUUGAUCUUGUUUCUUCACCAAAUCAGCAUUUGUCUCAGCAGACUCAUUUAAACUAUAUUGACUAUAGCCAAAAGGACUGAAACAUGGGGCUUGUUUAUAGCGCUUUGAACUUGCAAUAAGUGAAUUUUUAACCUAGUAGUGAAUUAUCAUCAUUUUUACUUGGUAGAAUUUUUGUUUGUUUGUUUGUUUGUUGUUUUGUUCUUUUGCAAAAGAAAAUGCCUCACAGUCAUCUACCACCCGCCUGGACUUACAUAUUUCUCUAAGGCUUGCCGCCAUCCUCUCCUUCUGGUCUGAGGCUGUUUCUCAGGCGGGGCUAUCUGCAGAUGCAGCAGAAUAGCUGAGCAAACAAUGCAGGGGCUGUUCAAGAAGCAGACAGGAUGUAGUGCUUGGCGUCUGGUAAGAGCAGGGAAUGUGUCAUGAGCCUGCUCAGCCUACUCUAGAAUCCCACACAUGUUUUCUGAAGUUUUUGCCCGGAUAAUCCCACUGUAGUUGGAAAAAUGGUGGCCAUGCUUGGUCUAUUCUUACAGCUCAGUGCAAAUGUCUGCUGCAGAAAAAAAUCUACACAGGGAAACUCUGUCCUCGGUCAUGGACCCUGGCCAGGGACUGGACAAUUGUGUAGUUAGUUAAAAAGAGACCAGGACAAAAAGUAUAAACGGGUCAUAUGACCCAUCCUCUCAGCUGGGAAAACAACUCAUGUACCAGUCCGGCUGACAGUGGGCCAUCUCAGGAGGGUACCAUCCCACGCUGUGGGGAAGCGUUGCUGGUCCUCCGUGGGUCUUUUUAACCACAUUCACAUGCCUGGCUGCUGGGUUUUAUCCGAUGCACCAUCAGGAAUAUGAAAGGCCAGAAGCAUAAUAGAAACCGAAUAGUCCUUGCAGUUGAGAGAAAGAAUGAUGUUUGAAAAGCAGUGCAGAGUUGCUUCUUGUCUAGACCAGUGGCUUGCUGUGGCAUAGGGCAAAGGGAAAUGCCUGUUACUAUUUGUAGGACAUAAAACAGUAGUCAUAAAACCUAGAAUCAUCAGCAAAGACCCAUUGUGAUAAAGAACUGCAAAAUACCUGUGCUUGUUCUUACAGUUUAUAGAUUUCCAGAGGAAGCUGUGGUCUUGCCCUUUGGCUUCUGUCACCCUGAUACAGUUUUUAAACUCCUGCACGUGAGUUGGAGGGGAAAGAAGAGGUCACUCCACUGUGUCCAUGCCCUGUGUGCCCAGAUGGGCAUUCUCCACUUACCUCUGCAUGCAAGAAACACUUAGGAAACUUCUUCUUCCCACUCUGACUCCAUUUACCUAACCAGUUUGUUACAUAAGCAGAAAUAGGCAAUGAGAGACCCUUCCAACACACACACACACGC
Callithrix jacchus (white-tufted-ear marmoset) is the source of this 2557-nucleotide long non-coding RNA. Lineage: Eukaryota; Metazoa; Chordata; Mammalia; Primates; Cebidae. The record is from Ensembl.